This 760-nucleotide long non-coding RNA is filed under the name Oryzias javanicus (javanese ricefish). RNAcentral describes it as "lncRNA (ENSOJAG00000016405.1)". The record is from RNAcentral. Lineage: Eukaryota; Metazoa; Chordata; Actinopteri; Beloniformes; Adrianichthyidae.
AGUACCCAGCUGCAGGUGUCAUGGCGGACUGGCAUGGAGAAUAGAUGAGACAUGGCAGAUAGACAUAACAUAAUGGACGUCCAACCAGAAGUUGUCAUAAUGCACAAAUCGGAAGUCUUCAAACUAAAAAAUGGAAUGUUUGUGUCAUGUUCAGUUCAUUAGUGCUGGUGCUGGGCUGGCUGCUGCAGAGCAAACUCGUGGCCACAGAGGGGCACCGUGCGCCCAACCGCCAUGUCUUCUAUGCAGUUCACAUGGACGGAGGCAGCAGAGCCGCCAGAGCUUUGGCUGAGCAGCACAAGCUGGAGUUCAUACAGCGGGUUGGCAGCCUCAAAGGUCUUUACACCCUGAAAGACAGCAGGGGGCGCCCAAACAGAACCUGCUUUGAGGACGGCCUGGCUGCUGCUGUGGGGGUUCACUGGGUUCAGAGGCAGGACCGUCAUCACAGAGAAAAGAGGGAUCUUCUGAGAGGACUGCAGCCCGGCACCACAAGCAGUUCCCAGAGGACAGAGUCUGCAGCUGACAACCCGCCUGAGGAGAGCAGGAGUGACCAGACCCUCACCUUCAACGACCCGCUUUGGCCCAUGCAGUGGGAGCUGUUUGCACAGUGCGAGUUCAACUCCAGCAGAUUUGACCUAAAUGUGAUGCCAGUUUGGAAGAACAACUUCAUCCAUCACGAUGAUGGUGAGACACUGUUUGCUUGUUGAGACUUGUGUUUUACCAGAUGACGCAAAGAAGAAUAUCAUUACAAAACAAUUCAAAC